GUAGGGUGCGAGCGUUGUCCGGAAUUACUGGGCGUAAAGAGUUCGUAGGCGGUUUGUCGCGUCGUUUGUGAAAACCCGGGGCUCAACUUCGGGCUUGCAGGCGAUACGGGCAGACUUGAGUGUUUCAGGGGAGACUGGAAUUCCUGGUGUAGCGGUGAAAUGCGCAGAUAUCAGGAGGAACACCGGUGGCGAAGGCGGGUCUCUGGGAAACAACUGACGCUGAGGAACGAAAGCGUGGGUAGCAAACAGGAUUAGAUACCCUGGUAGUCCACGCCGUAAACGGUGGGCGCUAGGUGUGGGUUCCUUCCACGGGAUCUGUGCCGUAGCUAACGCAUUAAGCGCCCCGCCUGGGGAGUACGGCCGCAAGGCUAAAACUCAAAGGAAUUGACGGGGGCCCGCACAAGCGGCGGAGCAUGUGGAUUAAUUCGAUGCAACGCGAAGAACCUUACCUGGGUUUGACAUACACCGGAAAGCUGCAGAGAUGUGGCCCCCCUUGUGGUCGGUGUACAGGUGG
RNAcentral lists this ribosomal RNA (514 nucleotides) under bacterium symbiont of Megymenum gracilicorne. Its description in RNAcentral is "bacterial SSU rRNA". It matches the Rfam family "Bacterial small subunit ribosomal RNA", at positions 527 to 1041 of the family's 1533-position model. The record is from RNAcentral.